CGGCCGCGCUGGGCCACCGCACCGCCGCGCUGCACCGCCGCCUCGACGCCCUGCAAGCCGCCGCUGCGCGCCUGGACCACCGCCGAGUGAAAAUCCAAGCCGUCUUUUUGGAUAAUGCGGUGCCUGACUGUCAGCGUUGUCUAAGAGGGAAACAGCAGGCUCGUGGAGAGGACCUGGGCCAACGCAAAAAACCCAGCGUUUUGUUUGCUGGGCUGUUCUUUGUCUCUAGUUGAUUUUGAAAAGAAGAUGAAAAAGGAAGGCUCUUCAGGUUCCUUCAGACUCCAGCCGAAUACAGGUUCUCUCUCACGUGCUGUGAGUUGGAUAAAUUUCUCCUCCUUGUCCAGGCAGACAAAGAGGCUGUUUCGCAGUGAUGGAGAGCUCUCGGUGUGUGGGCAGCAGGUGGAAGUGGAUGACGAAAACUGGAUAUACAGAGCCCAGCCCAGAAAAGGUGACUCGAUU
RNAcentral lists this small RNA (459 nucleotides) under Pan troglodytes (chimpanzee). RNAcentral describes it as "retained intron". The record is from RNAcentral. Lineage: Eukaryota; Metazoa; Chordata; Mammalia; Primates; Hominidae.